This 312-nucleotide ribosomal RNA is filed under the name uncultured bacterium. RNAcentral describes it as "bacterial SSU rRNA". It matches the Rfam family "Bacterial small subunit ribosomal RNA", at positions 790 to 1095 of the family's 1533-position model. The record is from RNAcentral.
GUAGUCCACUGCUGUAAACGAUGGAUGCUAGCUGUCGGUAGGUUUUCCUAUCGGUGGCGCAGCUAACGCAUUAAGCAUCCCGCCUGGGGAGUACGAUCGCAAGAUUAAAACUCAAAGGAAUUGACGGGGGCCCGCACAAGUGGUGGAGCAUGUGGUUUAAUUCGAAGCAACGCGCAGAACCUUACCAGCUCUUGACAUCCCGGUUUUAGUUACCAGAGAUGGUUUCUUCAGUUUGGCUGGACCGGAGACAGGUGCUGCAUGGCUGUCGUCCAGCUCGUGUCGUGAGAUGUUGGGUUAAGUCCCCGGCAACGG